Small nuclear RNA from Balaenoptera musculus (blue whale), 107 nucleotides. The record is from Ensembl. NCBI's taxonomy places the organism in Eukaryota, Metazoa, Chordata, Mammalia, Artiodactyla, Balaenopteridae.
GUGCUCACUUCCACAGCACAUAUACUAAAAUUGCAACGAUACAGAGAAGAUUAGCAUGGCCCCUGCACAAGGAUGACAUGCAAAGUUGUGCAACAUUCCACAUUUUU